UAAUCUAUUUGGGAUAGUUUCUCAUUUAGUUAUGAUAGACUUACAUCUAACUGCUUAAAAUCACUCACUAUUAUAUGACAUAAUAACAUAUUUGGAAGAAAAAAUUCAUAAAAUCGGUGUCUGAUUUUGAGUUUAUAA
Molecule: non-coding RNA, 138 nt
Organism: Populus trichocarpa (black cottonwood)
Lineage: Eukaryota; Viridiplantae; Streptophyta; Magnoliopsida; Malpighiales; Salicaceae
Source: Rfam